Molecule: long non-coding RNA, 277 nt
Filed under: Lathyrus oleraceus (garden pea)
Lineage: Eukaryota; Viridiplantae; Streptophyta; Magnoliopsida; Fabales; Fabaceae
Description: Pisum sativum (pea) long non-coding RNA (PSAT_LNC013965)
Source: RNAcentral
UGAUUGUCUGUAACUUCUAGUUCUCCAGCACCCUCAUUAUCUCUGCAUAGAAAAUUAUUAAUAAUAGUAGGAGAAAAUGAUAUACACUUACCACUCACAUACACCUUGCAGAAUUCCUUGCUAUUCUUAUCAGAAAUGUCCUCAGGAAUGUUAACAAUAAAUUCCUCCACUAAACCUUCAUUGAGAGAACCCAUCAACAAUUUUCAGCAACCCGACAACUUUUAUCAGGUCCAUGACCUCCUUCACAUCAACAACAUCUUUUCCCAACUCCCUUUCC